UACGUAGGGACCAAGCGUUGUUCGGAUUUACUGGGCGUAAGGGGCGCGUAGGCGGCAAAUUAAGUCAGCUGUGAAAUCUCCGAGCUUAACUCGGAACUGUCAGCUGAUACUGAUGUGCUAGAGUGCGGAAGGGGCAAUCGGAAUUCUUGGUGUAGCGGUGAAAUGCGUAGAUAUCAAGAGGAACACCUGAGGUGAAGACGGGUUGCUGGGCCGACACUGACGCUGAGUGCGCGAAAGCCAGGGGAGCAAACGGG
Molecule: ribosomal RNA, 254 nt
Filed under: uncultured bacterium
Lineage: Bacteria
Description: partial 16S ribosomal RNA
Rfam family: Bacterial small subunit ribosomal RNA
Source: RNAcentral